RNAcentral lists this long non-coding RNA (2690 nucleotides) under Androctonus crassicauda. Lineage: Eukaryota; Metazoa; Arthropoda; Arachnida; Scorpiones; Buthidae. The record is from RNAcentral.
UUGUCAUUUUAUCACCGAAACUUUUAAGGGAUUUUUUUCUUUUUUUUUUUUUUUUUGCGGCGAGAAAGACUCUCUUUAUUGGCUCCGCCUGCAAGUUUUGUGUCCUGAAAGAUGGCAAAGUAAUUGUAGUAUUAAACGUCGGAGUCGUAUUGCUUUAAGACCCUCGAAUAGGUGCUGAAACUGUUAACUUACAAAAGCCAUUAAGGUCGUUGUUGGUGUUUGGAUAAAGCAAAUACCGUUUCGAGAUUUUUCUAUGUCCUUACAAGAAUCUUUUUUUUCAAAUGCAAUUUUUAUUGCGCUUCCACGCCGCUCUCUUGCAAAACUUAGGCAAGUACAUCACUGACGUUAUUUUGCAAUUAGAAAUACUUGAUAUUUUCAAGGAUUUUACUUGGAAAAGUCUUCAUUCUUAUCGCCGGAAUCUAAUUGCUGAAGAGUCCUCUCGUUCGUUUGUAAAAAAAAAAAAAACGUUAAAAAAUCGAAAUUUGUUAAUAAAAUUAUAAAAAUUUUUCUCGGAAACAAUCUAGAGAAACGCAGUUACAAUAAAGAAGAUAAAAAAAACAGUGCAUCUUCAUAAACUUUCCAUUCACCGGCAAAAAUGGAUAAAAAGAAAGAAGAAGAAAAUAAAAGAAGCAAUUUGAUAAAGCAAAGCCCGAAGUUGUGCUGUCGGGCUUUGCUCUAUCAAAUUGCUCUAUUAAACUAUUGAUCAACUGUUUGCCCUAAAAAAUACUAGACUCUAAGCAAGGCUAUCUGUUCAUAAAUGUCACUGUAGUUGGCGAUUUCCGUGACUACACUCAUCAACUCUAUCGGAGAAGCUAGACAAAGAUAGAAAUCCCAUUUAUUACUUAUCUUCCAUUACAAUUAACUUAUUUUAAUUUUCGUUUUGGGUAGAAUAUUAAAGUCGAAAGACUUAAAUCGUCGUCAGAAUACGCGAUUUAACUGUAGCAUUUAAAGACCUGGACUAUUAUUAGGAAAAUUUACGUUUGUUCAAUACUACGAAUCGCUCAUUAUCGGAAGUAUUCACUGUAAGCCUUUAAUCAAUGACCCUUUUUAUCGAUCAGAUCUUUAUUCUAUCGUCAAGCCUUUAACUCCAUUGUCAAGAACUUCAAAGGCACUCGUGCAGGCAGUCUGCUUUUCGAAGGAAAAAAAAAAACCUCUCGACAAUGGGCGAAGAAAUGGAGACUAUUAACAACGUCCGCAACGCGUGCUAUUACAGUAACAAACCGAAAUCAACACGUACCCAGAAGAUUAAAUUUUACCGCAACCGUAAUAACAGCAGUCUAAUUAAUUAAAACGGUCUAAUUGUUCGCUCGACAGCAAGGUUUUCCUGUCUGCUUUAAAACAUCGCUAGCAAAGGAUUUUAUUUUGUAGAAGUAUAUGUUUAAUGAGGUAUAAUUCAUCAUAAAAAUGUGACACAUUGUGCAAACCUAUAAAAGUGCGACUAAGGCUUUCUCCGAUCAUUGGAAAGAGGUGGAUCAAUAACUUUUGCAAGACCUCGAAGGGAACCGAAACUAAUUGCCCUGUGUAAGCAAGGUAAAAGAAACGUAGAUCUUUUGCAAUUUUUCGAAAUUUUUCUUGUAUUCUCUAAGCGAAUCUCCUCUUCAAACCGUUUUAAGAUGCCGCCCACACACUAACAGGAGCAAACAAAAAAUAAAAAUUUAUUUAAAUAAUGUAUAGCUUCGUAUCUUUGCGAAAAUUAUUAAAUCGCAUACGAGAGAAAGAAAACUUGCAAAAAAAAUUUUUUUUUCUAUAAGUUUCUUGUAUUUUCUAAGCGUAUUGACGUAAGCAGUGUCUCCUUCUCAGAUUGCUUAAGAUAGAAUGCUGCCAAUACACUAACUGUCAGGAGUAAAUUAAUGUAUUUAAAUAAAAUAAAACUUUGUAUCUUCGUAAAAAUCGUUAACGCGCUUAACUGAGAGAAAGAAAACACGAUAAAGUAACUCAGAUCUUUUGCAAGUUUUCGAAAUUUUCUUAUACUUCCUUGCGUAUCGACUCCUCAGAGUUUUCUUAAAUUAGAUUGCUACCAACGCACUAAACAGGAAUAAAAAUUAUUUAAAAUAAAGUAUAAUUUUGUAUCUUCAUGAAAAUUAUUAACUUGUUUGCAAGAGAGAGAGAGAAACAAAAAUUUUAACGCGAUUUUUAAUUAUUAUCCAAAUUGGUAUAUAACCGCUCGAAUUUUGGAAAGGAUCCAACAGCGCUGCAAUUUUAAGAUACGCUGCAAUAGAAAUUCGUAUAUAGUUACAAAAUUUUGAAUUUAUGUAGACUAUUAAAUUUAUUAAAGAGGGGGGUAAAAAAAAGAAAGAAAAUUAAGAGACGUUCCGUUUCAGAAAACAUCAUCGUAAUGGUUAAUUUUUGUCACUUCUUAAUAGAAACUUUCUCUUAAAUAUGUUCCACUCUGUAAGUAGAACAUAUUUAAAGUUACAGUUUUGCUCGCAGAAAUCCUUGAAAGUAAUAAUUAUUUAAAAAAUAUAUAUAACUAGCCUGUUAAAUAAUUUCGUUUUUAAUAUAAUAUAAUCGCCAUUUUUAUAUAUAUGAAACCUAGUAAGAGUUUACUAGGUUUGAUACUGGUACGCAUUAAAAUAAUUUAAAAAAUUUCGAAAAUGUUAAUAAAAAAUCUACAGUUUUUUUUUUUUUUUUUGCCAAACUUAUUUUAUAAUGUUAGUACACGAGUUUGUAUGGGGAAAAAAAAACUGCAA